This is a long non-coding RNA of Triticum urartu, 1160 nucleotides long. RefSeq lists it as uncharacterized. The record is from RefSeq and is a predicted model, not a curated record. Lineage: Eukaryota; Viridiplantae; Streptophyta; Magnoliopsida; Poales; Poaceae.
CCCAUUUAUCAAAAAGGAAACAAGUCACGCACAAACAUCAAUCCCUUCUCCUUCGCUGGCUCCUUGAAUUACGCCUCGCCCCAAGGGACCCCGACGGACCUGCAACGGCAGGGACGCGAGAGCAGCAACCUGCAGCAUGGCCGUCCGAGCCGUGUUCAUGGUGAAGGGCAGGCGGUGGAGAUGUGAAGUCCAGGCACUGUUCAAGGUACGCACCGAAGCCAUUGCUCAUUCAUAUAAUUUUUGGAUUCCAAUUCUUUGAUCCUUGUCUGUUUAUCUCAAGACGGUGCUACAUCCUUUAUUAGAAGAUAUUUUUGCGUCUAUUAUAGGGGCCCAUUAGAUGAAGCUCGCACAAGGGCCUCUAAGAUCUUAGGGCCGGCCCUGCAAGUUCUAGAACCAGUUCUGCAUAUUUUUCAAGUUCAGGCAUCAAAGUGAACAUUCAUGACAAGUUUAAGCACCACUCAUGAUAUUACCUCUUAACUUUACUAUCCAACAUACCCGUUUUCUUCUCAAGAUGGUCUUUGGUAUCUGCCACACUCCUUGUUAAGAAGUCUAAGGAAAUGCAUUGCAAUACGAAGAUAUUUGAAUAUAAAAGAGCCAGGCUCACAACCAAAGAGUUGUUUGUAAUAAUCCCCUUCCUCUUUUGCUUGUCUAAAGUAGAAGAGUUCACUCUUGCGGAAGUUAUCUUUACACCAGGCAAUAGUUCGAAGAGACAGAGAAUCAAUUCAUGUUUUUGGCCUUCUCAUUAUCAUGUUCCAUAAAGAUGGUACUGUCAUCAGCAUAUUGCAGGACCUAUAGUCCACCAUCCACUAGAUGUAGAAUAAGACCCAUCACAUGACCUGCUUCCUUAGCUCGGCUGAUAAGCAUUGCUAGAAGCAGGGCCGGCCCUGAGGGGGGGCAGGGGGGGCGGCCGCCCCAGGCCCCCGGGUAGGAAGGGGCCCCCGAUUGAUUUGGUUUCCCUAUAUACGUGUGAUUGUUUAGCGGUCGAUUGAUUCUCCAAAAGGAAACAAAAAUUAAUUGAUGGAUUAGCACGCCGUGCAGUCUUCUCCGCUUAAUACUCUUUCUACCCAAUUGGCAACAAAUCAGCCAUGCCAUGAAUGACGGCGCCCCGCCCACUCGUCUAAUUGUAAUUUUUGGCUGCUAGGCGCCAUUAGUGGAAGAAG